Long non-coding RNA from Sinocyclocheilus anshuiensis, 1004 nucleotides. The record is from Ensembl. NCBI's taxonomy places the organism in Eukaryota, Metazoa, Chordata, Actinopteri, Cypriniformes, Cyprinidae.
AAUUUCUGGGGUGUUUUUUCACUUUCAUCUAAGUGCCUCGCCUGCUGUUCCCUUCCCUCCUGUGAGUCAUUGGCAUGACCAUCUGUCUCCAGUGAGUAUUUCUCUCUGUUCGAGUUCCAGGUCAUCAGUUUCAAUCCAUUUUCGUUCUUGUUAUUCACCUCACUCUGUACGUCCCAUGCAGGGAUUCCAUUCCCAGGACAGCGGUGUCACACCUAAUUCCUCACCCAGUCCAAUUCGAAGGUUUCGAGGAGGAUCUGUGAGCUCUGGAGUGAGAUGGCCAUCAGUUGCACCUUUGAAAAGGAAAGGUGGAGUGGAAUCGGACGGUCCGCCCAAAAAGCUCUUUGUUGCUGGAGUCACAGACCCUGCUCACAUAACCAGUUACACAGUCAGUGUUUCCCAGUCAGUGGACUCUUCCUCUGGGACUGCUCCUGUCGGUUCAAACACCCAGGCCACCCCCCUGUCCCUCUCCCCUCCGCCCCCCUUCACCUCUCACCACCCCAGCAUCUAAACCCCAGUAUUCAUCACAUCAUCACCUUGUAGAGCUUUGGACUCAAGGUGUUGUAAAAUGAAGACCAAACUUCGACCUAAACUCGGUUCUGUCCCGUUUUGUUUUCCUGCUUUUAAUUUGGUGCUUUGAAUAGAGGAUUUCAGCUCAAUCCCUUCUGAAGGAAAUUUGGCCUAGUUGUGACUUUGAUUUCAAAGGAAAUCCAGAUGCAAUAGAAGAAGACAAAAUCUUCUGGAUGUAUCUGACAUGACAACAUGCAGGCUAUCAUGUAAUUUGUGAAUAAUUAUGGAUCUUCUGUGCCUACGGAAUAGUGUGUUAUUUAUAUGAAAUAGUAUCUGCAAUAACACAUUGCAAUGAAAGUGUUCAGGUAAUUGAAACCUGGCGAAUAUUGACACAAAGACCCUUUCCUCAGUGUACAGACUCAAGAGAAAGACCAGUUUUGCUCUUUGUUUUCCUCAACUCUUGUAUUUUGGCACAUCUUCAGCUUCCAUUAGCAGGG